GGAUCUCAAACAAGAGUUGUCAGAGGCAAUUUGCAUACCUGCUUCCAGAUAAUUUGCUUACAGUUCUUCGGCUACACUCCUCCCUUCUACCCGCCUCCACCCAGCCCCGGGCUCCCGGUUCAAAGCGGUAAAGUGAGGACGACAGGCGACAAAACCCCUUUCAGGGCCCUCACCCUGUCUGCACACCCCGUUAGAAGGCUGGCCUGGGGGGAAGACUCGAGAUCAGAGCUGUGGGCCCCCAAGGCGGCCCCGCGGGGCUUUCCGCCAGACACCGCCUCCCCACGCCCGGACACCAUCUGCUUCCUCCCGGAGUCAUCAAAAGCCAGUGCACGUGCUCGCGCCCCACCCCCGCCCACUCAGAGAGGUAGCCUGGGGAGGGGCGGGGUGAAGGAGAUUCGAACCCCUGGUCCCUUCCAAGGCCCCGGGCGCCUUGUUUAUUCAGCCCGCUCCAGGCUUCUCCUCCCGCUGGCCUCCCGGAGAGUUCCUCUUUCGGGAGUCUGCAACCGUGCGCGGGGCGGAUGCCGGGGUAGUACGCUGCACCCUCUUCCCUGCCCGGUGGUACAGAAGGGUCAGACCCGGCGCAGUCUGCAGUUUCCGGCCACGGCGACGACACCAGUCCCGCAGGGAGGAGGCCAAACGGGGACCAGGGGCCAACUGGCCUGGGAACUUCCGUCCCGGCUCCCUGACACCGGAGGCCCCCUGGGAAGUCCCAGCAGAUGUGUCCAGGGUCAGAGACCUCGGAGCCAAGGAUGGGGCAGAGGUCUGAGACAUGAAGCUGGAAAACCAAGUCCAGUCUUGCUGAACCCUGACCCCUUUACACACCCAAUAAGGAAGGUGAAGGACUUGAGGUAUCUGACUGAGAGGGCUGGAUUCUGUCUUCAUCUUAGCUGAUAUUUUGUUCGUCAUGGAUUUUUGUUUCUUUCAUUAACUUUAAUUUUUUUUUAAUAUUGUAUUAACACAUUAUUUAUC
RNAcentral lists this long non-coding RNA (969 nucleotides) under Cervus hanglu yarkandensis (Yarkand deer). Its description in RNAcentral is "lncRNA (ENSCHYG00000003244.1)". The record is from RNAcentral. Lineage: Eukaryota; Metazoa; Chordata; Mammalia; Artiodactyla; Cervidae.